CUUUUCCUGCCUUGCGGACUUCAGUCAAUACUUUUCCCCGGGAGAGUUUAUGUUUUCAUCUAUGUUAGGAGAGAUUGAGUUUCCUGAAUCCUAAGGGAAACCAGACACGGGAAGAGUCGGUGAAACCCUCCACACACCUUCUUCAGGAUAUUUGACAUGUACAGGUAAGCCCAAAAGUAUUCAUACCCAUGCCACCUUUUGAGCCACAGUGAAUUUGUAUUUGACCAACAGGUUUCUUCUGGUAUAUGAAUAAAGUUUCCUUAAAAUAAAUAGUUUAUAUCUCCAGCACAAUCGUCAAAUACAAAUUCACUAUGGCAAGGGGUAUGAAUAC
This is a long non-coding RNA of Esox lucius (northern pike), 331 nucleotides long. RefSeq lists it as uncharacterized. The record is from RefSeq and is a predicted model, not a curated record. The transcript is spliced from 3 exons. Lineage: Eukaryota; Metazoa; Chordata; Actinopteri; Esociformes; Esocidae.